Molecule: ribosomal RNA, 479 nt
Filed under: uncultured soil bacterium
Lineage: Bacteria
Description: bacterial SSU rRNA
Rfam family: Bacterial small subunit ribosomal RNA
Source: RNAcentral
GUCGAACGCGAAAGUUCCGCAAGGAAUUAGUAGAGUGGCAAACGGGUGAGUAACACGUGGGUGACCUGCCUUCGAGUGGGGGAUAACGUCCCGAAAGGGACGCUAAUACCGCAUAAUAUCCUGCCUUUUAAGAGGUGGAAAUCAAAGCCGGGGAUCGCAAGACCUGGCGCUUGAAGAGGGGCCCGCGUCCGAUUAGCUAGUUGGUGAGGUAACGGCUCACCAAGGCGACGAUCGGUAGCCGGCCUAAGAGGGCGGACGGCUACACUGGGACUGAGACACGGCCCAGACUCCUACGGGAGGCAGCAGUGGGGAAUUGUUCGCAAUGGGCGCAAGCCUGACGACGCAACGCCGCGUGGAGGAUGAAGACCUUCGGGUCGUAAACUCCUUUCGAUCGAGACGAAUGGCCUUCGGGUUAAUAACCUGGGGGAGUGACGGUACCGAGAGAAGAAGCCCCGGCUAACUCCGUGCCAGCAGCCGCG